UUUCAGAUGAUGGAUCCCAAGCCUUCUGGCAAUCUGCGCCUCAUAAAUGUUUGAAUAAAUAUUUUAAGAGAGGCACUCAUAAAUUUUGAGAUAGUUGAGAAGACCUUUUGUUUUUUGCGUCUGUUUUAUUGUGAUGUCAGAUUGUACCGGAGAAGGUUUUUCCGGUUUAUCCCGGAGGGCUUGUAGCUCAGUUGGUUAGAGCGCGCGCUUGAUAAGCGUGAGGUCGGAGGUUCAAGUCCUCCCAGGCCCACCAUUUAUUCCAGGCCUAUGAUUGAUUUCUAGGCAGACAUUAAUUCCAGGCUUAUCUUAUAGUUUUAGGUUUACUAUGUGUGGUUGCGUUUUUAUCUUUUAACUGCCAUGUUGUUUGGUUAAAGAGGGGCCGUAGCUCAGCUGGGAGAGCACCUGCUUUGCAAGCAGGGGGUCGUCGGUUCGAUCCCGUCCGGCUCCACCAUCAUAGGCUAUUUAUGCGUUAUGGAUCAUCAUGUUAGAGAACAAGUUUGCAAAUAGAUUUUGAUUUAUUGCUGGUUCUAGUGAAAUUUGAAGA
Molecule: transfer RNA, 544 nt
Filed under: Bartonella bacilliformis
Lineage: Bacteria; Pseudomonadati; Pseudomonadota; Alphaproteobacteria; Hyphomicrobiales; Bartonellaceae
Description: partial 16S-23S ribosomal RNA intergenic spacer
Rfam family: tRNA (bases 177-250)
Source: RNAcentral